AGAACGAACGCUGGCGGCAGGCUUAACACAUGCAAGUCGAACGCACCGCAAGGUGAGUGGCAGACGGGUGAGUAACGCGUGGGAAUCUACCCAACCCUUCGGAAUAGCUCCGGGAAACUGGAAUUAAUACCGAGUACGCCCUACGGGGGAAAGAUUUAUCGGGGUUGGAUGAGCCCGCGUUGGAUUAGCUAGUUGGUGGGGUAAUGGCCUACCAAGGCGACGAUCCAUAGCUGGUCUGAGAGGAUGAUCAGCCACACUGGGACUGAGACACGGCCCAGACUCCUACGGGAGGCAGCAGUGGGGAAUAUUGGACAAUGGGCGCAAGCCUGAUCCAGCCAUGCCGCGUGAGUGAUGAAGGCCCUAGGGUUGUAAAGCUCUUUCAGUGGGGAAGAUAAUGACGGUACCCACAGAAGAACGCCCCGGCUAACUUCGUGCCAGCAGCCGC
Molecule: ribosomal RNA, 445 nt
Filed under: uncultured soil bacterium
Lineage: Bacteria
Description: bacterial SSU rRNA
Rfam family: Bacterial small subunit ribosomal RNA
Source: RNAcentral